AUUGAACGCUAGCGGGAUGCCUUACACAUGCAAGUCGAACGGAGUGGCGAACGGGUGAGUAUUGUAUCGGAACGUGCCCAGUAGCGGGGGAUAACGACGCCAAAGCGUACCUAUAGCCGAAUCCUCUUGAACGCGCAGAUAUCGGAUUAGCUAGGUGGUGGGGUAACGGCUCACCAAGGCGACGACCCGUAGCUGGUUUGAGAGGACGACCAGCCACACUGGGACUGAGACACGGCCCAGACUCCUACGGGAGGCAGCAGUGGGGAAUUUUGGACAAUGGGGGAAACCCUGAUCCAGCCAUCCCGCGUGUGCGAUGAAGGCCUUCGGGUUGUAAAGCACUUUUGGCAGGAAAGCGGUACCUGCAGAAUAAGCACCGGCUAACUACGUGCCAGCAGCCGCGGUAAUAC
This 407-nucleotide ribosomal RNA is filed under the name uncultured bacterium. RNAcentral describes it as "partial 16S ribosomal RNA". It matches the Rfam family "Bacterial small subunit ribosomal RNA", at positions 30 to 526 of the family's 1533-position model. The record is from RNAcentral.